RNAcentral lists this ribosomal RNA (498 nucleotides) under uncultured bacterium. RNAcentral describes it as "partial 16S ribosomal RNA". It matches the Rfam family "Bacterial small subunit ribosomal RNA", at positions 28 to 507 of the family's 1533-position model. The record is from RNAcentral.
GACGAACGCUGGCGGCGUGCCUAAUACAUGCAAGUCGAGCGGACGGAUGGGAGCUUGCUCCCAGACCGUCAGCGGCGGACGGGUGAGUAACACGUGGGCAACCUGCCUGUAAGACUGGGAUAACUCCGGGAAACCGGGGCUAAUACCGGAUAACUCUUUCCCUCACAUGAGGGAAAGCUGAAAGAUGGCAUCUCGCUAUCACUUACAGAUGGGCCCGCGGCGCAUUAGCUAGUUGGUGAGGUAACGGCUCACCAAGGCGACGAUGCGUAGCCGACCUGAGAGGGUGAUCGGCCACACUGGGACUGAGACACGGCCCAGACUCCUACGGGAGGCAGCAGUAGGGAAUCUUCCGCAAUGGACGAAAGUCUGACGGAGCAACGCCGCGUGAGUGAUGAAGGCUUUCGGAUCGUAAAACUCUGUUGUCAGGGAAGAACAAGUACCGGAGUAACUGCCGGUACCUUGACGGUACCUGACCAGAAAGCCACGGCUAACUACGUG